AAAUAGAUGGUGUUUUAGCAGCUGAAUAAUGCUACCGUCAGCUUCCAGCUAGCUUGCUAAGUCUAGCUACAGCGUCCAGCUAACAUGCUAAUGCUAACAGGCAUUUAACAUAAACAAAAUUUGUUUGAUAUUAAUUAGAAAUUCUUAUAAAAAAACUUGACAGAAAUACGCAGGUCAAGUAAGUAAACUUCUUUCUGAGCACAAUUUAGUUGGACUGGUCAGAAAAUACAAGUAAAAUCCACAAUUUUAGCUUAGCUGUAAAAUGUCCUACCUCUCAGUGUCUCUGUUGGGUCGGGAAAAGAACUUUCUAGCUCUUUCUCCUAUUAGUAGCUAGGGGAAUUCCAUCUCGUCAUGGUUACAGCACAUAACCAAUAAGAGACUGUAUCUGUACACGUUGUUGUCCUCACAUGCGUAUCAGUAAUAUUUAACUCAUCAGAGCUGUUUGUUUUGCUGCAGCAAAGAAUCUGGACCCACUUUAAACUGUUGCCUGAAUCUUUACUCAUGUUAAACGUGUUUAAUAAACAGGUCUCCACCACCUGAUCAUGAUGAUGAUGAUGAUGAAGAAGAACCAUCAGGAAAUGCUCCUAAGGAUGUGUAUGGUCUCAUGCUGUCACUUUGUUGCCUACAUGAAGGUGCUGUGGUGCACAGACAGUGGUUUGUCCACUAACAUGCAGAUCAGCAUGAGGAACAUCCUGUUUUUGGCUCCACCGUUGUUUUUUCAACACAGUUCUUGGCGUCACAAACAGGAUCCCGCUGCAGGUCGUCUGGACCGCGGUCCUGGCGACUAGGUUCGCUCAGCCUCCAAACCUCUACAGCUUUCUGAGUAGGAAGUCUGCCCACACGUCUGGAUCGCCUCUGACGAGAUCCAACAAACUCAAAAUCCAACCUCUACUUGGCUCGGUGAGAGAGAUUCCAUUUUUUGCGACUUGUUGGAAGCAAAAAAAAGGGGGGGGUUGAUAUUUGGUUCCAGGUAUUCGGGUUUCCUUGGUUCUGAUCAUUUGGUUUAGGGAAACAGAGGUAAUAAUAAUAAUUCUAAAACAUCUCCUAUUUCGCUGAAACUUUCCAAAAUUUAAUAAUUAGGAACAACAAUCAAUAUAAUUACUUAAUUAGGUCAAGUCUGCUCAGGGUUGGCUCUUGGAACCGAGCUUUUGUCUGUACUGGGGGGGUAACAAACAAGUGUGCAGAUCUGAGCGCAGUCCACACAGAGUCUGGGGGACAAGAAAAAAGACGGCUUCCGAAAGAGGGAGUGCUUACGCAGAAGGAAGUUUUCUCGAGAUACGAGGGAUCCGGGUCUUAGAGGGGCCUGACGGUGAGGGAUUACUUCUGGGAAGACUGUGUUGCUAGAUCUGAGCGGUUCCCUUUCUACGGCGACUUCAGAUAAAAAGAAAUAUUGGGAAGGUUCCAGCCGGAACACAAAAAGAUCUAAGACAGGAAACCGCUGGACUCUGGAAGUUGAGCUCGGGGCAAUCUAAGUCUCCACCACUGGACAGCAGCCUUACGAAAUUAAUGAGACGUAAAUAUGGUAAUGAGUGCGUGUCAUGUCUUCACAACUGGACAAAAGAUUAUGGGUUUCGAGAAGGGGGAUCACUCAGUGUGAAGGACAUACGCGAUUUAAAAGAGAAAUUGGAAGAAAAGGAGUCACAGCUCUGUACGAGCAAAGUUAAAACCUUAGAGGAAAUUGAAUUAAUCCAAAUCUCAGGGCAUCUGUUGUUUAAAGAAUGAGAACGCAGGGAAAGACUGAAAUGCCAAAAAGUUAGGAGGGAUUAAGGAUAGGAGUGGCGACGAAGAAAGACUCUGUGGAAGCUUGCACACCACCACCAUACACACAUACACACACACACACACAACACCAUGAGAAACAGAGCGCUCCCACUGGUCUGCUUUGUAUCCUUUUGCAGAGCUGAGCGCGAUGAAGGUGAAUCCCGACCUGGACUCCUUCUACGUCAGCAGGAGGGCCGAGCAGGGCCUGCCCAAUCAACAGCUUGACCGACCUCUGUCACCAGAAGCUGCACCAUCCGGAUCAGAGCAGCCAGAGAGCACAGACAACAGCAGAGAAGCGUCACCAAUCCCCAGAACAACUACCGUUCACCUUCCGAACAUCACCGUAUCAGGAAAGUCAUUCUGUGCCAACCUUCUGGCUUUCUGCCAGGAGUACAGACCCAGACCCAGCUGAGAUUCCUCGCAUCUUGGCCAAGCGUCUUUUACCUUUUUUACCAUGAAGAAUUAGUUGAUGACUUUGUUCGCUGCCUCACCACCGCAUACAACACACACGGAGGAGUUCAUCCUACCCCAAAAGGAGUGGGGGGGCUCAUUUGUUCACCAUACGAGAGUCAUCUGUGUGAGCUGGUGAUGAAAGGGUUGCUCCCUGAAGUGUUUGACGCCGUGAAGCAGUCGUACAUCAGAUGAAAAGAAGCGCGUCUGUCUGAUCUCACAAGACACGCACGCCUUGCUUAUGACACUCUCCAGCAGAAGAAGAUGGCAAAGAAGGAAAAACAACAGAGCGAAUUGUAUCUGCCCUCCUUGGAGAUGUUCAAACAAUUUCCUGCGUUUGCUGUGACGGUUCAAGGUGAACGCAUGGGGUUUUUAGUAGAUUUAGGAGCAACAAAUUCGGUAAUAGAAUCUUUCAUGUUUUCCAAUCCACCUGAGUGGACGGUUUGCGUACACUAUAGGUUAGUCUGGCCAGACAAUAAAAGAAAAACUUACUGUUCCUCUGUCUUGCUCAACAUCAGAUGGCAAGACACUCAAACAUUUAUUUCUGCUUUCAAACAUAUGCCCAGUUAGAGAUGCAUCUGACCUGUCUUGUACAGUGCAGCACAUGUGUCCACUGGUCCUGAUGAGAACUUUGAAAAAUCAUGGUUACGCACACACACUGACAAAUUGACCUCAAUCUCUCUCUUUGCGCUUGCAAUUUCUUUCACUAAUGAACAAGAGAGAUUUGUUGAUGCUUAUUCCGCAGAUCCACAUGUCCUCCUGUCAAAGCAUGACGGAGACAGAUAGCAGGACUUGGGUCCUUUCGUGGACAGAUGUCAACGGGAAGGAGACUGGCAAGCGACUUCCGACAUAAAUGUGAUGUAUUGACCUACCUUGCAUGCUUACAAGAAACUUUUUCAGUCCAACUUUCAUGCGCAGCGCACAGUGCACUCGGUACCUCAACAUUCCACACCACGUGUUUUUGUUGGAGGACGCGCUGACACAGUAUCCAGCCUUACCGGAAGUUCCUGCUUCCCUGUGGGCCACACACAAAUACAGUAUGAUGUAGGUUUAAUCAAAGGGUGCGACCCAGUGGUCAUCACACCUAAAUCUGACCACAAACCAUGUAAAUAUACCCUUUAAAGAGAGAGUUUAACUCUCUUUUGAAAGCAGGAGUCAUCGUCCCAUGUGCAACUCUCCCGUGAGGACCCCACUUUUCCCGGAAGAAAAUCAAGACAAGGGACAGCCAUCAGAAUGGAGGUUUGUCCAGGAUCUGCAAGCAGUAAAUGCGGCGGUCCAUUCUUUCUCAGAUUCUGCCUAUGGCAAAAAGUCUUUUUAGUUGUCGAUUUGGCCAAUGCUUUUUCAGCCUGCUCGUCCACAAAGACAGUCAAUUCUGAUUUGCUUUUGAAUUUAACGGAAAGUCUUUACCAGACUCUGUCAGGGGUAUUCAGAAAGCCCUACAAUCUACAAUAUGGCAUUAAAGACAGCGUGGAUGAUCUUGUUUUGUCCCCAGGCACCGCCCUACUGCAGUACGUUGAAUUGAUGAUCUGCAGUGAGAAUCAGGAAACUUGCACAGCAGACACGAUCAAGCUGCUGAAAUACCUGCACGCUGCAGGCCACAAAGCGAGCCAGUCCAAAUUAGUUUGUUCAGACUAAGGUCACCUUCCUAGGUCCCAUCAUUACCGCUGAAGGGAAAUCCAUUUUACCUGAAGGAGCUGAAGCUAUUCAGAACCUGCCUAAACCGUGCACAUACAAACAGCUUAUGUCCUUUCUAGGCAUGUGCUCUUAUUGCAGGAAUUUAAUUCCUAACUGCGCCGUCUUGGAGGCUCCACUCAGAGCUCUGAUGCAGACAUCCUCUUCGUCCACCUCUCGCCUCAUGUGGACAUCUGAGACUAAACAGGCAUUCAUCGACUUCAAACCUGCUCUUCAGUCUGCUCCUACAUUGGGUCUGCCUGACCCUACGCGACCUUUUACCAAACAGUGGAUGAGGCCCACGGUGCCUCCAAGCAGAGGUGUCACUUCCUAACUGUGACCUCGUUCUCUUUGUUGAUGGCUCCAUCUCUAGAGACCCUGCUUCGGACCAAUGUCAGGUUGGGUAUGCAGUCUGCACUCCUCUUGUCGUCUUGAAGUCUGGCUACUCUGCUCAGGCUGCAGAGUUGAUCGCAUUGACUGAAGCUAGUAAUUAGCAAAAGAAGAGUCUGUUACCAUCUACACAGACUCCACAGAUGCUUUUGGAGUUACACUUUGGUGAUCUGUGGAAGCAUUGGAAGCUUUUGAAGUCUAAUUGCAAACCUAUCUUACAUCAUGAUUAGGUUGCUGCUUUUCUGGACGUUGCCACCCACAGCUAAUGCUGUUUGUAACUGUCUGACUCACACCAUCAGUGACCACUUUUUUUCUCCUGCAAUGGUCACUGCCCGGCAAUCCCCUCCCUCUCCCCAUCCUUGUUCCCUCUCCUGAUCCUCCUUUCCUCGCUAACUCUCUCUACCCUCUCCUGCCUCAUUUCUCCCUGUGCUUUAAACGUUCUUUACCUCACAGGAAUGCAGACUCUGGCAGACGAAUGGUUCCUCCUGUAGCCAUGGAGUCUGGUUUGGGCCUGAUGGGCAGCUACGCCGCCCAAACACUUUUUUUCCCCACAAUUCAGAUUUUCCAACAGGUGAAAACAGGCGACAGGACCAUUACACCAUCCAACCAGGGGACUGAGCGAUCGUUAAGGAGUUCAGGAGGAAGCAUUGGGACUCCAAACGGUGGCAAGGCUCCUUCCAGGUCCUUCUGAUGAUCCACAUGGCUGUGAAGAUCACAGAGAGAGCGACUUGGAUUCACUCCAUCCACUGCAGGAAGGUCCCGGAUCCGACAGACGAUCCCUCCAUCUACACCACAUGGAGAAUUCUCCACUAACGAAAAGAACUGAGAAGAACGACCCUCGCUGUGCUCACACACACGCACUGAGGCGAGGCUGCGUUGACCAUUCAGCUAAAGGUGUGAGCCAAGCGCCGCCUGAAGCUGCACCGGUGAAUCACACUAUCAGACCAUACAUCUACACACCACUCCUGAGAAAACACACACACAAGCAGCCUUGAGUUGUCAAUGCUGGACGAUGUGUAGACUCUCCUCAUCAAGAGAGUGACAGUGACACAGGUGACAUUGGGAGGAAACCUGGUGGUGAUAACAAAUCCCAAGUGUCUCUGUGAUCAGCUGAUCACAACCUGAAGAACUCCUUCAAACUGUCAAUGCAUCUACACACAGGUUGGAAACAAUCUAACGCUACUGUUAAACAGGACCAAGCAGAUCGUUACAAGACGUCAAUUGUAACCUUGCGUUAGACUUCAUUUUAUGUUCCUCUGAUUAUUGCCUUGAUCAUAUGAUGUUUCCAUGUAACUUUACACACUAUUUUUGAAUGAGAAAAUUUCACAACGACACUGAGUUUAAAUAUCCUAAAGUUGAUUUGGUGUUUUAUUUGCUCACAAUCACUUUAUUCACUGCUACGAUGAGUUUUUAUCCUUCAUCUACAGAUGAAAGACAACACAAGCGGAAAUCAGUUAUCCCACUGGUUAGAGGUCAUGCGUGCGACCUCAGUAACACACUUGUAUUAAAUGACACAAUGCACUAUGUUCAGAAACCCCGACUCUAUUUCACGUAAUGACUUUGUUGAUGAUCUUAGGCUAUCUGAUCACAAAAUAUAAUCUGAUACAAAUAUGA
Long non-coding RNA from Betta splendens (Siamese fighting fish), 5886 nucleotides. RefSeq lists it as uncharacterized. The record is from RefSeq and is a predicted model, not a curated record. Lineage: Eukaryota; Metazoa; Chordata; Actinopteri; Anabantiformes; Osphronemidae. The transcript is spliced from 3 exons.